Molecule: unclassified non-coding RNA, 328 nt
Filed under: soil metagenome
Description: partial contains 5.8S ribosomal RNA, internal transcribed spacer 2, and large subunit ribosomal RNA
Rfam family: 5.8S ribosomal RNA (bases 1-120)
Source: RNAcentral
GAUGAAGAACGCAGUGAAAUGCGAUAAGUAAUGUGAAUUGCAGAAUUCAGUGAAUCAUCGAAUCUUUGAACGCACAUUGCGCCCCUUGGUAUUCCGGGGGGCAUGCCUGUUCGAGCGUCAUUAUCACCCCUCAAGCUCAGCUUGGUGUUGGGGCCUGCUGCACUGGCAGCCCUUAAAAUCAGUGGCGGCGCCAUCUGGCUCUAAGCGUAGUAAUUCUUCUCGCUAUGGAGUCCUGGUGGAUGCUUGCCAUCAACCCCCAAUUUUUCUAUGGUUGACCUCGGAUCAGGUAGGGAUACCCGCUGAACUUAAGCAUAUCAAAAGCGGAGGA